This 77-nucleotide transfer RNA is filed under the name bacterium. RNAcentral's name for it is "tRNA-Asp". It matches the Rfam family "tRNA". Rfam says of the family: Transfer RNA (tRNA) molecules are approximately 80 nucleotides in length. The record is from RNAcentral.
GGAGCAGUAGCUCAGUUGGUUAGAGCGCCCGCCUGUCACGCGGGAGGUCGCGGGUUCGAGUCCCGUCUGUUCCGCCA